RNAcentral lists this non-coding RNA (29 nucleotides) under Homo sapiens (human). The record is from RNAcentral. Lineage: Eukaryota; Metazoa; Chordata; Mammalia; Primates; Hominidae.
AUUAAACCUGCCAUGUGCACAAAUCUCUC